Mangifera indica (mango) is the source of this 97-nucleotide small nucleolar RNA. RefSeq annotates it as small nucleolar RNA U19. Lineage: Eukaryota; Viridiplantae; Streptophyta; Magnoliopsida; Sapindales; Anacardiaceae. The transcript has a single exon. The record is from RefSeq and is a predicted model, not a curated record.
UUUUGGUUUAGUUAUGAGGCAGAUAUUGAGCCAUUGGCCCUUUGAGGGGACUCUUAUUUUCUCUUAUUAAUUGUCCUCCAAGCAGCCUUACACAUUU